This is a transfer RNA of Phytophthora infestans T30-4, 72 nucleotides long. It matches the Rfam family "tRNA". Rfam says of the family: Transfer RNA (tRNA) molecules are approximately 80 nucleotides in length. The record is from Rfam. Lineage: Eukaryota; Oomycota; Peronosporomycetes; Peronosporales; Peronosporaceae.
CCGCUUUUAGCUCAGUGGUCGAGCGUUGGCUUUGGAAGCCACAGGUCGGUGGUUCGAGCCCGCCAGGGCACA